RNAcentral lists this transfer RNA (72 nucleotides) under Camelus bactrianus (Bactrian camel). It matches the Rfam family "tRNA". Rfam says of the family: Transfer RNA (tRNA) molecules are approximately 80 nucleotides in length. Their secondary structure includes four short double-helical elements and three loops (D, anti-codon, and T loops). Lineage: Eukaryota; Metazoa; Chordata; Mammalia; Artiodactyla; Camelidae. The record is from Rfam by way of RNAcentral. RNAcentral also lists the same sequence under 2 other names.
GUGAGUAUAGCUCAGUGGCAGAACACAUGCUUAGCAUGCAUGGGGUCCUGGGCUCAAUCCCCAGUCCUUCUA